Molecule: ribosomal RNA, 758 nt
Filed under: uncultured organism
Description: bacterial SSU rRNA
Rfam family: Bacterial small subunit ribosomal RNA
Source: RNAcentral
GUGCCUAAUACAUGCGAGUCGAGCGAUAAGGCGGCUGUCGGGGGGUCAUCAGCGGCAGACGGGUGAGUAACACGUAGGUAACCUGCCCUCAAGACGGGGAUAACGCCUGGAAACGGGCGCUAAUACCGGAUGACCUUGGUCGGGGAAGCUCCGGCUAAUGAAAGGCAAUAGCGCUUGAGGAGGGGCCUGCGGCCCAUCAGUUAGUUGGUAGGGUAACGGCCUACCAAGGCGAAGACGGGUAGGGGGUGUGAGAGCACGGUCCCCCACACUGGGACUGAGACACGGCCCAGACUCCUACGGGAGGCAGCAGCGGGGAAUAUUGCGCAAUGGACGGAAGUCAGACGCAGCGACGCCGCGUGGGUGAAGAAGGCCUUCGGGUUGUAAAGCCCUUUUCUGAGGGAAGAGAAAGGACGGUACCUUAGGAAUAAGCGUCGGCUAACUACGUGCCAGCAGCCGCGGUAAGACGUAGGACGCGAGCGUUAUCCGGAUUUACUGGGCGUAAAGCGUGUGUAGGCGGCGUGACAAGUUGGGCGUGAAAGCCCCGUGCUCAACGCGGGGAGGCCGCACAAUACUGUCAGGCUAGAGGGCAUCAGAGGGGUGUGGAAUUCCCGGAGUAGCGGUAAAAUGCGCAGAUAUCGGGAGGAACACCGGUGGCGAAAGCGGAACCCUGGGGUGCACCUGACGCUGAGAGACGACAGCUAGGGGAGCGAACAGGAUUAGAGACCCUGGUAAUACUAGACGUAAACGAUGGAUGCUAG